RNAcentral lists this ribosomal RNA (305 nucleotides) under uncultured bacterium. Its description in RNAcentral is "bacterial SSU rRNA". It matches the Rfam family "Bacterial small subunit ribosomal RNA", at positions 337 to 635 of the family's 1533-position model. The record is from RNAcentral.
UCCUACGGGGGGCAGCAGUAGGGAAUUUUCGUCAAUGGGCGCAAGCCUGAACGAGCAAUGCCGCGUGAACGAGGAAGGUCUUCGGAUCGUAAAGUUCUAUUGAAGGGGAAAAAGAGCGGAGAGAGGAAAUGGUCUCCGAUUGAUAUUACCCUUCGAGGAAGUCACGGCUAACUACGUGCCAGCAGCCGCGGUAAUACGUAGGUGGCGAGCGUUAUCCGGAAUGAUUGGGCGUAAAGGGUGCGUAGGCGGCCUGCUAAGUCUGGAGUGAAAGGUACCGGCUCAACCGGUACAGGCUCUGGAAACUG